This 715-nucleotide long non-coding RNA is filed under the name Calidris pugnax (ruff). RNAcentral describes it as "lncRNA (ENSCPUG00000019393.1)". The record is from RNAcentral. Lineage: Eukaryota; Metazoa; Chordata; Aves; Charadriiformes; Scolopacidae.
AGCCAUUUAUCGGCCCCUCAGCGCACGGAGCCGCCCAGGCCCGCCCGCUCCCCGCACGCUCCGACGCCAUCGCCGCCGGCACGCGCUUCCCGCCCACCCCCGCGCGCCUAUCGCCCCGCCCACUCACCGCCCCGCGCCGGCACGCCCCCUCCCGUCACGCGCGGCAGCGUGUCCCCCAUGUUUAGAGCGGAAAAUGGCGGCGCCUGAGCGGCGGUUGUGCCGGUCGGUGCGUUGGCAGGCCGGGAGCUGAAUAAAAGGGUACACCGGCGGUGGAAAGAGCAUACGUGCCUUCGUGGGAAGGCGCAGGGUAAUCCAAUGGCUUUUCAAAAUGGAAUGGCGCUAUUUCCAUAAGGCUCGGAUACGGCAUGGCUUCCUGCCUUCCUGUUGGCUGGAAUCCUGCUGCUCUGCGCCGCAGACCUCGUAUCGUUUGCCAGCUCAGAGGCAGAUUUUGGAAGCCAGAAGAAAUGAGUUCUCUUCCCGCUGCUGUCGUGACGUGACAAGCACAAGCAGCAGGGAAUGAAGGGUUUUAAGAAGAUGGAAUGAACUGCUUCAGUCAUGCUGUGACAGCGCUGACACUCUCAGCCUCCUUCCUGAAGCUGUCACUUCCAGGUAUGUUGAGGACAAAGCUUUAUGUAGAUUAUGAUGUAUAUUCACUAUAUUCAGUCUUUUGGGGGGGCCUUAGGCUCCCAAGUUCUUGAUGGAAUGCUUCCUGAUC